This 2664-nucleotide ribosomal RNA is filed under the name Staphylococcus aureus. RNAcentral describes it as "partial 23S ribosomal RNA". It matches the Rfam family "Bacterial large subunit ribosomal RNA". Lineage: Bacteria; Bacillati; Bacillota; Bacilli; Caryophanales; Staphylococcaceae. The record is from RNAcentral.
ACGGGAAGAGCCCAAACCAACAAGCUUGCUUGUUGGGGUUGUAGGACACUCUAUACGGAGUUACAAAGGACGACAUUAGACGAAUCAUCUGGAAAGAUGAAUCAAAGAAGGUAAUAAUCCUGUAGUCGAAAAUGUUGUCUCUCUUGAGUGGAUCCUGAGUACGACGGAGCACGUGAAAUUCCGUCGGAAUCUGGGAGGACCAUCUCCUAAGGCUAAAUACUCUCUAGUGACCGAUAGUGAACCAGUACCGUGAGGGAAAGGUGAAAAGCACCCCGGAAGGGGAGUGAAAUAGAACCUGAAACCGUGUGCUUACAAGUAGUCAGAGCCCGUUAAUGGGUGAUGGCGUGCCUUUUGUAGAAUGAACCGGCGAGUUACGAUUUGAUGCAAGGUUAAGCAGUAAAUGUGGAGCCGUAGCGAAAGCGAGUCUGAAUAGGGCGUUUAGUAUUUGGUCGUAGACCCGAAACCAGGUGAUCUACCCUUGGUCAGGUUGAAGUUCAGGUAACACUGAAUGGAGGACCGAACCGACUUACGUUGAAAAGUGAGCGGAUGAACUGAGGGUAGCGGAGAAAUUCCAAUCGAACCUGGAGAUAGCUGGUUCUCUCCGAAAUAGCUUUAGGGCUAGCCUCAAGUGAUGAUUAUUGGAGGUAGAGCACUGUUUGGACGAGGGGCCCCUCUCGGGUUACCGAAUUCAGACAAACUCCGAAUGCCAAUUAAUUUAACUUGGGAGUCAGAACAUGGGUGAUAAGGUCCGUGUUCGAAAGGGAAACAGCCCAGACCACCAGCUAAGGUCCCAAAAUAUAUGUUAAGUGGAAAAGGAUGUGGCGUUGCCCAGACAACUAGGAUGUUGGCUUAGAAGCAGCCAUCAUUUAAAGAGUGCGUAAUAGCUCACUAGUCGAGUGACACUGCGCCGAAAAUGUACCGGGGCUAAACAUAUUACCGAAGCUGUGGAUUGUCCUUUGGACAAUGGUAGGAGAGCGUUCUAAGGGCGUUGAAGCAUGAUCGUAAGAACAUGUGGAGCGCUUAGAAGUGAGAAUGCCGGUGUGAGUAGCGAAAGACGGGUGAGAAUCCCGUCCACCGAUUGACUAAGGUUUCCAGAGGAAGGCUCGUCCGCUCUGGGUUAGUCGGGUCCUAAGCUGAGGCCGACAGGCGUAGGCGAUGGAUAACAGGUUGAUAUUCCUGUACCACCUAUAAUCGUUUUAAUCGAUGGGGGGACGCAGUAGGAUAGGCGAAGCGUGCGAUUGGAUUGCACGUCUAAGCAGUAAGGCUGAGUAUUAGGCAAAUCCGGUACUCGUUAAGGCUGAGCUGUGAUGGGGAGAAGACAUUGUGUCUUCGAGUCGUUGAUUUCACACUGCCGAGAAAAGCCUCUAGAUAGAAAAUAGGUGCCCGUACCGCAAACCGACACAGGUAGUCAAGAUGAGAAUUCUAAGGUGAGCGAGCGAACUCUCGUUAAGGAACUCGGCAAAAUGACCCCGUAACUUCGGGAGAAGGGGUGCUCUUUAGGGUUAACGCCCAGAAGAGCCGCAGUGAAUAGGCCCAAGCGACUGUUUAUCAAAAACACAGGUCUCUGCUAAACCGUAAGGUGAUGUAUAGGGGCUGACGCCUGCCCGGUGCUGGAAGGUUAAGAGGAGUGGUUAGCUUCUGCGAAGCUACGAAUCGAAGCCCCAGUAAACGGCGGCCGUAACUAUAACGGUCCUAAGGUAGCGAAAUUCCUUGUCGGGUAAGUUCCGACCCGCACGAAAGGCGUAACGAUUUGGGCACUGUCUCAACGAGAGACUCGGUGAAAUCAUAGUACCUGUGAAGAUGCAGGUUACCCGCGACAGGACGGAAAGACCCCGUGGAGCUUUACUGUAGCCUGAUAUUGAAAUUCGGCACAGCUUGUACAGGAUAGGUAGGAGCCUUUGAAACGUGAGCGCUAGCUUACGUGGAGGCGCUGGUGGGAUACUACCCUAGCUGUGUUGGCUUUCUAACCCGCACCACUUAUCGUGGUGGGAGACAGUGUCAGGCGGGCAGUUUGACUGGGGCGGUCGCCUCCUAAAAGGUAACGGAGGCGCUCAAAGGUUCCCUCAGAAUGGUUGGAAAUCAUUCAUAGAGUGUAAAGGCAUAAGGGAGCUUGACUGCGAGACCUACAAGUCGAGCAGGGUCGAAAGACGGACUUAGUGAUCCGGUGGUUCCGCAUGGAAGGGCCAUCGCUCAACGGAUAAAAGCUACCCCGGGGAUAACAGGCUUAUCUCCCCCAAGAGUUCACAUCGACGGGGAGGUUUGGCACCUCGAUGUCGGCUCAUCGCAUCCUGGGGCUGUAGUCGGUCCCAAGGGUUGGGCUGUUCGCCCAUUAAAGCGGUACGCGAGCUGGGUUCAGAACGUCGUGAGACAGUUCGGUCCCUAUCCGUCGUGGGCGUAGGAAAUUUGAGAGGAGCUGUCCUUAGUACGAGAGGACCGGGAUGGACAUACCUCUGGUGUACCAGUUGUCGUGCCAACGGCAUAGCUGGGUAGCUAUGUGUGGACGGGAUAAGUGCUGAAAGCAUCUAAGCAUGAAGCCCCCCUCAAGAUGAGAUUUCCCAACUUCGGUUAUAAGAUCCCUCAAAGAUGAUGAGGUUAAUAGGUUCGAGGUGGAAGCAUGGUGACAUGUGGAGCUGACGAAUACUAAUCGAUCGAAGACUUAAUCAA